CAAGUCGUGGGGCAGCAUGGUGUAGCAAUACACUGAUGGCGACCGGCAAACGGGUGCGGAACACGUACGCAACCUUCCUUUAAGUGGUGAAUAGCUUUCGGAAACGAAAAUUAAUACACCGUAACAUUAUGAAGUGGCAUCAUUUUAUAAUUAUAGCUCCGGCGCUUAAAGAUGGGCGUGCGUCUGAUUAGGUAGUUGGCGGGGUAACGGCCCACCAAGCCUGCGAUCAGUAACUGGUGUGAGAGCACGACCAGUCACACGGGCACUGAGACACGGGCCCGACUCCUACGGGAGGCAGCAGUAAGGAAUAUUGGUCAAUGGACGCAAGUCUGAACCAGCCAUGCCGCGUGGAGGAUGAAGGUCCUCUGGAUUGUAAACUUCUUUUAUUUGGGAAGAAACCCACGAUUUCUAUUGUGGUUGACGGUACCAGAUGAAUAAGCACCGGCUAACUCCGUGCCAGCAGCCGCGGUAAUACGGAGGGUGCAAGCGUUAUCCGGAUUCACUGGGUUUAAAGGGUGCGUAGGCGGGCAGGUAAGUCAGUGGUGAAAUCUCCGGGCUUAACCCGGAAACUGCCGUUGAUACUAUCUGUCUUGAAUAUGGUGGAGGUGAGCGGAAUAUGUCAUGUAGCGGUGAAAUGCUUAGAUAUGACAUAGAACACCCAUUGCGAAGGCAGCUCGCUACACUAUCAUUGACGCUGAGGCACGAAAGCGUGGGGAUCAAACAGGAUUAGAUACCCUGGUAGUCCACGCCCUAAACGAUGAUUACUCGACAUCAGCGAUACACUGUUGGUGUCUGAGCGAAAGCAUUAAGUAAUCC
RNAcentral lists this ribosomal RNA (816 nucleotides) under uncultured Flavobacteriia bacterium. RNAcentral describes it as "bacterial SSU rRNA". It matches the Rfam family "Bacterial small subunit ribosomal RNA", at positions 58 to 870 of the family's 1533-position model. The record is from RNAcentral. Lineage: Bacteria; Pseudomonadati; Bacteroidota; Flavobacteriia.